GAACGCACCUUGCACCCUUUGGUAUUCCGAAGGGUAUGCCUGUUUGAGUGUCAUUAAAUUCUCAACUUCAAAAGAGUUUGUGCUUUUUUGAAGCUUGGACUAUGGAAGCUUGCUGGUAUCACUAUCAGCUCUUCUUAAAUGCAUUAGCGGAACUGUGAAGGACCAGCUUUGGUUUGAUAAUCCUAUCUAUGCCGUCGCUGUGGACUUGUGUUCAGCUUCUAACUGUCUUCGGACUGUCUCUUAUGAGGCAUAUAACUUUAAGCUUGACCUCAAAUCAGGUAGGACUACCCGCUGAACUUAAG
Molecule: unclassified non-coding RNA, 302 nt
Filed under: uncultured fungus
Lineage: Eukaryota; Fungi
Description: sequence contains 5.8S rRNA gene
Rfam family: 5.8S ribosomal RNA (bases 1-53)
Source: RNAcentral